RNAcentral lists this ribosomal RNA (253 nucleotides) under uncultured bacterium. Its description in RNAcentral is "partial 16S ribosomal RNA". It matches the Rfam family "Bacterial small subunit ribosomal RNA", at positions 524 to 776 of the family's 1533-position model. The record is from RNAcentral.
UACGAAGGGGGCUAGCGUUGCUCGGAAUCACUGGGCGUAAAGCGCACGUAGGCGGGUCCUUAAGUCGGGGGUGAAAUCCUGGAGCUCAACUCCAGAACUGCCUUCGAUACUGAGGAUCUCGAGUCCGGGAGAGGUGAGUGGAACUGCGAGUGUAGAGGUGAAAUUCGUAGAUAUUCGCAAGAACACCAGUGGCGAAGGCGGCUCACUGGACCGGUUCUGACGCUGAUGCGCGAAAGCGUGGGGAGCAAACGGG